Molecule: long non-coding RNA, 1085 nt
Organism: Mauremys mutica (yellowpond turtle)
Lineage: Eukaryota; Metazoa; Chordata; Testudines; Geoemydidae
Exons: 3
Source: RefSeq, a predicted model, not a curated record
CACCAGCUUGCGGGCAUCAGCCGCGGGGCACCCGGCCACCCUGCCCGGGCCCCGGAGCGCCCGUCUGCGCAGGGGGGCUCGGGUCCGUUCCGCGGCUGGUGCCGGGAGCGCAGAGCCUUACGCCGGGGGCAGCAGCCGGGUGCCCCUGCAAGGCAGGAGCGACCCACAGGGGCUGGCGGCGGGUCCCGGCUCCCCCCCGCGGACCUUAACCCGGCUCCCCAGUGUCCCGGAGCUCCCCCCCCCGCGAGGCUCCCGGCGCCGGGUCCUCCCCUCACCUCGGUAGCGGCGGAAGGCGGCGUGGCAGGCGGCGAGCAGCAGGACGGCGCCCAGCGCCAGCGCCUUGGCGCUCCUCACGCUGAAGAUGUUGGCAAUUUGUGGGAUGGGAGCUGCGGGAGCAGAGCUGCCUGGCCAUGCCUCUGUCUACGAGCCGGACAUUCUGGCUGUUUCCAGGGAUGCCAGGCUUUCAAAGAAGAGCAGAAUACUUAAAAAAAAGAUCUGGAAACAAGGCAUAUAAAACAGUCUCCCUGCCUCUACAUUAAAUUAAUACUACCACAUCAAAAAAAAUUUAAAAGGGAGGAGGAGAAGCAAUCUCAUUGAACAGGAGGCACUAUUAGGAGUUGUCAACGGGAGAGGAACAUCGUAGGCAGAAGGGAAUCAGGUGGCACAUCAAGGGCAGCAGGGAAGAAGAGAACUCAGUGUCAGUAAAAUAUGUACAAUAAGAGAAAGUCACUAGGUAGCAGAAAGACAUAAAUGGGAAUGGACAAGAUCAGAAUGAAUGGAAGAGCAAAGAGAGACAGUAUGAUUAAUUUUCUUCAAAAUGGAUAAAAUAUGUAGGAACUUUACACUUCUUAAGCACUAUGGGGGUAGGAAAACUGCCCCGGAUCAUAGAGCGGCUGAAGUGGUUCCCCCCCCCACAUCUGGUCAGGAGACGCACUGAUUAUGCGCCGACCAGGUGAUUACCACUGGAACACGCUAUGCAUAAAGCACCAAUUAGGAGAAAGGGCAAGAAGUUGGACUGAGUUUGUACAUGCGCAUGAUAUGAUGAUUUAUGUAACCAAUUAUAAUAAAAGGACAUGGAAAACCCC